This 329-nucleotide unclassified non-coding RNA is filed under the name soil metagenome. RNAcentral describes it as "partial contains 5.8S ribosomal RNA, internal transcribed spacer 2, and large subunit ribosomal RNA". The stretch from base 1 to 120 matches the Rfam family "5.8S ribosomal RNA", at positions 35 to 154 of the family's 154-position model. The record is from RNAcentral.
GAUGAAGAACGUAGCGAAAUGCGAUAAGUAAUGUGAAUUGCAGAAUUCAGUGAAUCAUCGAAUCUUUGAACGCACAUUGCGCCCCUUGGUAUUCCGAGGGGCAUGCCUGUUCGAGCGUCAUUAUAACCCCUCAAGCUCAGCAUGGUGUUGGGGCCUGCUGCACUGGCAGCCCUUAAAAUCAGUGGCGGCGCCAUCUGGCUCUAAGCGUAGUAAUUCUUCUCGCUAUGGAGUCCUGGUGGAUGCUUGCCAUCAACCCCCAAUUUUUCUAUGGUUGACCUCGGAUCAGGUAGGGAUACCCGCUGAACUUAAGCAUAUCAAUAAGCGGAGGA